GAUGAACGCUAGCGGCAGGCCUAAUACAUGCAAGUCGAGGGGUAGAAGAGGCUUGCUUCUUUGAGACCGGCGCACGGGUGCGUAACGCGUAUGCAACCUACCUUCAUCUGGGGGAUAGCCCGGAGAAAUCCGGAUUAAUACCGCAUAAAAUCACAGGAUGGCAUUAUCCAAUGAUCAAACAUUUAUGGGAUGGAGAUGGGCAUGCGUGUCAUUAGCUAGUUGGCGGGGUAACGGCCCAACAAGGCGACGAUGACAAGGGGAUCUGAGAGGAUGGCCCCCCACACUGGUACUGAGACACGGACCAGACACCUACGGGAGGCAGCAGUAAGGAAUAUUGGUCAAUGGAGGCAACUCUGAACCAGCCAUGCCGAGUGCAGGAAGACUGCCCUAUGGGUUGUAAACUGCUUUUAUUCGGGAAUAAACCUUAUUACGUGUAAUAAGCUGAAUGUACCGAAGGAAUAAGGAUCGGCUAACUCCGUGCCAGCCGCCGCAGUAA
This 496-nucleotide ribosomal RNA is filed under the name uncultured bacterium. RNAcentral's name for it is "partial 16S ribosomal RNA". It matches the Rfam family "Bacterial small subunit ribosomal RNA", at positions 28 to 523 of the family's 1533-position model. The record is from RNAcentral.